This is a small nuclear RNA of Peromyscus maniculatus bairdii (prairie deer mouse), 104 nucleotides long. Lineage: Eukaryota; Metazoa; Chordata; Mammalia; Rodentia; Cricetidae. The record is from Ensembl.
GUGCUCACUUAGGCAGCACAUACACUAAAAUUGUAACAAUACAAAUAUCAGCAUGGCCCCUGCACAAGGAUGACACGCAAAUUUGUGAAGCAUUCCAUAUUUUU